This 427-nucleotide ribosomal RNA is filed under the name Chitinophagaceae bacterium. Its description in RNAcentral is "bacterial SSU rRNA". It matches the Rfam family "Bacterial small subunit ribosomal RNA", at positions 1 to 423 of the family's 1533-position model. Lineage: Bacteria; Pseudomonadati; Bacteroidota; Chitinophagia; Chitinophagales; Chitinophagaceae. The record is from RNAcentral.
ACAAUGGAGAGUUUGAUCCUGGCUCAGGAUGAACGCUAGCGGCAGGCUUAAUACAUGCAAGUCGAGGGGCAGCGCAGUGUAGCAAUACAUGGGCGGCGACCGGCAAACGGGUGCGGAACACGUACGCAACCUUCCUUCAAGCGGGGAAUAGCCCAGGGAAACUUGGAUUAAUACCCCAUAAGACAAUUGGUUCGCAUGAAUUGAUUGUUAAAGAAUUUCACUUGAAGAUGGGCGUGCGUCUGAUUAGGUAGUUGGCGGGGUAACGGCCCACCAAGCCUACGAUCAGUAACUGGUGUGAGAGCACGACCAGUCACACGGGCACUGAGACACGGGCCCGACUCCUACGGGAGGCAGCAGUAAGGAAUAUUGGGCAAUGGACGCAAGUCUGACCCAGCCAUGCCGCGUGGAGGAUGAAGGUCCUCUGGAU